This 206-nucleotide long non-coding RNA is filed under the name Capsicum annuum. Its description in RNAcentral is "long non-coding RNA (CANN_LNC006474)". The record is from RNAcentral. Lineage: Eukaryota; Viridiplantae; Streptophyta; Magnoliopsida; Solanales; Solanaceae.
UUGUAUAAUUUUUUUGUUUCAAUUGCUUUAUCCUAAAACUGUUUUUUCCUCACCGUGCAGAUAAAACAAAUAGGACGUGUUAAACUUAUUUUUCUAAGUGGACAAUUCCGGUAUGUAGUUUUCUACAUUGGCUAUGCACACUACAGAGCAGAAAGUACAAGUAAAGCAUGGAUCUUGAUUGUUCAUGAGGUACCUUUUAAUGGCAU